AUAGCUUAUUAGUUACCAAUAAGUCGAGUGCUAAUUCCCCCAAAGCAAUCAGAACCGGAUGAUACAUCUUUUGUAGGGGAAGCUUCCAACACAGAAGGGGGCAAACGACUGCAAUGACGGACAAUAAAGGUCUACAUCUGCGUCAUUGGCAUCUAGGGUUCGAUUUCUUUGAUGUAUUUUCAAUGUCGUCUAAGCCUAUGAACAAAAUAGAAAAAAACAUGGAGUUUUCUUUAAAGGAAAGAAGCGACCAGGUCGAAUAAAAAUCAACCAAUGACAGCAUCGUUGCCAUGGACCUUCUGCUAGCUUCUUCGAGUCCCCAGAGAAAAAAGAUAGUGAUUCCUUUAGCCAUAUUAGCAAGCAGUCAAAUUUAGGGUUUCCUAUUCGUUGAAAUCCGAACAUCAAGCCGAUGAACAACUAGGGUUUUUGUUGGGCACCACCAGCUAGCGAACAUCGGUGUAUUUGUGCUAGGAGAAAAGACGUGUAGACGAAACAAUGGGGGUGACAUUCAUCUGGUGGUUGCCGACAUUCACAGCGAUUGGAGUGAAGGUGACAUUCGUCUGGUGGUUGCCAACAUUCACAGCCAUUGGAGAGAGAAGGUGGAGGAGGAAGCAAGCGGUGGAGGUACCGAUUAGGGGUUGGAAGGAUCAGGAAGUAAAAAUGUUAACUAUACAAGGUAACCCGAUGAAGAUGAAGGUAACCCGAUGAAGGGUACCUGGGGUCAGAUUUAUGUAAGCAUAUAAUGACAUUUUUGAGUAUAAGUCACAUGCGAGGCCUUGCAAAUGUGAUUGAAGUCCUGAAACAACAUCCAUGAUAAAACAAUAAAAAUAAAACGAUUUGAAGAUUUUUUGGAAAUUUGAUGUUGAAUCUGAAUGGUGGAGAUUAGAUUUUGACAUCGGUCAAUACACCUUUGAACCUCGUGAACAGCAGAAGAAAAACCUGUCCAGCAAACAUUAACAUGGCAGUCCGCUUUUUGAUUUAAUUCCAGCCCAACUGAAAGUGCUAAGGCAGCCCAAUAUCAUUUAUAUUUUGAGAGCCUAUUUGUCAUAUGUUAUAUUAUUAAGCUGUGAAAUGUGUCCAUGUUGGGAGCCCAUUUACAUGAUUUUCAGCCGAAGGAAAAAUGAAACACAAUUAAAUCAAACCAACUUUCAUAUAUGCCGACAGCUUUAUUCAUUAAUAAAAAUAAAAUAAAGGGGUGGUUAUUUAUUAUCA
This is a long non-coding RNA of Lactuca sativa (garden lettuce), 1209 nucleotides long. RefSeq lists it as uncharacterized. Lineage: Eukaryota; Viridiplantae; Streptophyta; Magnoliopsida; Asterales; Asteraceae. The record is from RefSeq and is a predicted model, not a curated record.